Transfer RNA from Candidatus Haloredivivus sp. G17, 134 nucleotides. It matches the Rfam family "tRNA". From Rfam's summary of the family: Transfer RNA (tRNA) molecules are approximately 80 nucleotides in length. Their secondary structure includes four short double-helical elements and three loops (D, anti-codon, and T loops). Further hydrogen bonds mediate the characteristic L-shaped molecular structure. tRNAs have two regions of fundamental functional importance: the anti-codon, which is responsible for specific mRNA codon recognition, and the 3' end, to which the tRNAs corresponding amino acid is attached (by aminoacyl-tRNA synthetases). tRNAs cope with the degeneracy of the genetic code in two manners: having more than one tRNA (with a specific anti-codon) for a particular amino acid; and 'wobble' base-pairing, i.e. permitting non-standard base-pairing at the 3rd anti-codon position. The record is from Rfam. Lineage: Archaea; Methanobacteriati; Methanobacteriota; Candidatus Nanohaloarchaea.
GCCCAGGUAGCUCAGCAGGUAGAGCGCCACGCUGUUAAACAUGGUCUUUCUCAUAGAAAGGCCUUGAAGAAAAUCCAUCGUGAUUUUCGAAUACAGUUACGUGGUGGUCGCAGGUUCGAGCCCUGCCCUGGGCG